UACGGAGGGUGCAAGCGUUAUCCGGAUUCACUGGGUUUAAGGGGUGCGUAGGUUGAUUGGUAAGUCAGUGGUGAAAUACUCCGACUCAAUCGGAGAUCUGCCGUUGAUACUAUCAAUCUUGAAUAUGGUGGAGGCGGGCGGAAUGCGUCAUGUAGUGGUGAAAUACUUAGAUAUGACGCAGAACACCCAUUGCGAAGGCAGCUCGCUACGCCAUUAUUGACACUGAGGCACGAAAGCGUGGGGAUCAAACAGU
Molecule: ribosomal RNA, 253 nt
Filed under: uncultured bacterium
Lineage: Bacteria
Description: partial 16S ribosomal RNA
Rfam family: Bacterial small subunit ribosomal RNA
Source: RNAcentral